AAAGCUUGAUCCAGCAAUUUCGCAUGUAUGAAGAAGACCACUAAACGUUGUAAAGUACUAAGCUCGGGGAUAAUAAUGACGGUACCCGAGUAAAAAGCCCUGACUAACUUCGUGCCAGCAGUCGCGGUAAAACGGAGAGGGCAAGUGUUAUUCGUAUUGACUGGGUGUAAAGGGUACGUAGGCGGUUAUUUAAGUUAUAAAAAAAAGCUAUAUCUUUUUAUAAUACUAUAUGACUAGAGUUAAAAAGGGGAUGGCGGUACCUCCAGUUUAGAAAUGACAUUCGUUUGAGAUUGGGGGGACCAACAAUAGGCGACGGCUGCUUUCCAUUUUUAUACUGACGCUGAGGUACGAAAGCACGGGGAGCGAACAGGAUUAGAGACCCUGGUAGUCCAUGCCCUGACCUAUGAAUAUUAAUCGUCCAUUUAGAUAGUGGAUGACUAAGCUAACGCGAAAAUAUUCCACCUGAGGACUACGGCCGCAAGGUUAAAACUCAAAGAAAUUGGCGGAAGAUCGUUUAAGCGGUGGAGUAUGUGGUUUAAUUCGAUAAUACGCGAAAAACCUUACCAAUCUUUGUGCACAUUUUCGGUUAUACAAAACUCGUAGUCUGGAUUGAGGUGGUCAAUUUGGACUAAUUAUGUGCCAGGCGUUGCAUAGCUGUCGUAAGCUCGUGUCUUAGGAUGUGUGGUUAACUCCAUGAACGGGCGCAACCCUUGUUCCUAAUUAGAUUAGGAAUGAAAACAGUGAAAACUGCUUUUGAGGAUGAGGAGUAUGUCAAGUCAAUAUGACCUUUAUAGAUUGGGCUACACACGUACUACAACGGUAGCUACAAUGAGAAACAAUGCCGUGAGGCGGAGUAAAUCUCUAAAAUCUACCCUAGUUCGGAUUAUUUUUUGAAAUAAAAAUAUGAAGCCGGAAUCGCUAGUAAUCGCAAAAAAGAAUGUUGCGGUGAAUAUUAAGACCGAUCUUAGUACACACCGCCCGUCACGCCAUGGAAGCUUGUUUGGUUUGAAGAUAUUAAGUCACAUGUUUCGAAGUGAUUAUUCCUUAAUAAGUUCAUGUUAUGUGUGUUACUGGUAUCGACAAUUAGAUAGGUGACUGGGGUGAAGUC
Molecule: ribosomal RNA, 1108 nt
Filed under: Balamuthia mandrillaris
Lineage: Eukaryota; Discosea; Longamoebia; Balamuthiidae
Description: SSU rRNA
Rfam family: Bacterial small subunit ribosomal RNA
Source: RNAcentral